This 306-nucleotide ribosomal RNA is filed under the name Nodipecten subnodosus. Its description in RNAcentral is "partial 12S ribosomal RNA". It matches the Rfam family "Bacterial small subunit ribosomal RNA", at positions 874 to 1326 of the family's 1533-position model. Lineage: Eukaryota; Metazoa; Mollusca; Bivalvia; Pectinida; Pectinidae. The record is from RNAcentral.
UGGGUACUACGAGCGAGUGCUUAAAACUCAAAGAACUUGGCGGCUUGUUAACUACCUAGGGGAAUAUGCGCCUUAAUCCGAUGGUCCCCGCAACAUCUUACUGGAUCUUGAAAAAGUGCAGUUGGUGUAUUGCCGUUGUCAGCUUGUUGUUCGAGCAAGGAAAAACAGGCUUAAUGGGUCUCUAGUGAUUAGGGUCACGAGAAUCCGUGAAUUCAGGUCGUAAUGCUGCCUACGGUCCAAGGGAGUGGGUAUUACAAUUUAUAUUUAAAAUUACGGAUCUUUAUUGUGAAACUUUAGGGAAGAAGG